CUUUUAAAUGUUAAUGUCCUUAUCAUUCUCUAGGACAUCGUUCUAGCUCUCUCAAUUUUCUAUGUUUGGAUAAUCACAGGCCCUUCUUAAUUUUUCAGCAGUUAAAAUUUAAUUUGAUUCUGUUAGAUCUUGUCUAACGUAAACUUACAGUUUAUGGAUUACUAUUUAUUUAUUUAAUUUAUGCAAGAUCCACAAUUGGAUUCAAGUAGGAUAGUCUUUUAAAGCUUACUGACACUCGUGCUUCUAACAAUAAGAUGACACUGAUGCACUAUCUUUGCAAGGUUCUAGCUGAAAGGUCGCCUGGACUGCUUGACUUCCACUUAGACCUUGUAAGCCUGGAAGCUGCGACUAAGGAUAAUAUUGAGGAUGAUGAUAAUGAAGAUUAAGUUGAUUAUUAUUGUGGUUUAUUGGCUAAGAUAGAGUAGUGUUGGGAAUGGAUACAUCUGUAGUUGACUAAUGACUUUUAUUUGAAGAUACUUAUGUAGGAUAUAAUAUUUUAAUUUUUUAUAGAGUAUUAGUAGUAAAUUCUAAGUGAUAUC
Non-coding RNA from Arachis ipaensis, 539 nucleotides. NCBI's taxonomy places the organism in Eukaryota, Viridiplantae, Streptophyta, Magnoliopsida, Fabales, Fabaceae. The record is from RefSeq and is a predicted model, not a curated record.